RNAcentral lists this ribosomal RNA (465 nucleotides) under Vreelandella stevensii. RNAcentral describes it as "partial 16S ribosomal RNA". It matches the Rfam family "Bacterial small subunit ribosomal RNA", at positions 338 to 795 of the family's 1533-position model. The record is from RNAcentral. Lineage: Bacteria; Pseudomonadati; Pseudomonadota; Gammaproteobacteria; Oceanospirillales; Halomonadaceae.
CCUACGGGCGGCUGCAGUGGGGAAUAUUGGACAAUGGGCGAAAGCCUGAUCCAGCCAUGCCGCGUGUGUGAAGCAGGCCUUCGGGUUGUAAAGCACUUUCAGUGGGGAAGAAAGCCUUGGGGCUAAUACCCUCGAGGAAGGACAUCACCCACAGAAGAAGCACCGGCUAACUCCGUGCCAGCAGCCGCGGUAAUACGGAGGGUGCGAGCGUUAAUCGGAAUUACUGGGCGUAAAGCGCGCGUAGGCGGUCUGAUAAGCCGGUUGUGAAAGCCCCGGGCUCAACCUGGGAACGGCAUCCGGAACUGUCAGGCUAGAGUGCAGGAGAGGAAGGUAGAAUUCCCGGUGUAGCGGUGAAAUGCGUAGAGAUCGGGAGGAAUACCAGUGGCGAAGGCGGCCUUCUGGACUGACACUGACGCUGAGGUGCGAAAGCGUGGGUAGCAAACAGGAUUAGAUACCCCGGUAGUC